AUUGAACGCUGGCGGCAUGCCUUACACAUGCAAGUCGAACGGCAGCACGGGAGCAAUCCUGGUGGCGAGUGGCGAACGGGUGAGUAAAGUAUCGGAACGUGCCCAGUCGUGGGGGAUAACGUAGCGGAAGUUACGCUAAUACCGCAUACGAUCUAUGGAUGAAAGCGGGGGAUCGCAAGACCUCGCGCGAUUGGAGCGGCCGAUAUCAGAUUAGGUAGUUGGUGGGGUAAAGGCUCACCAAGCCGACGAUCUGUAGCUGGUCUGAGAGGACGACCAGCCACACGUGGACUGAGACACGGCCCAGACUCCUACGGGAGGCAGCAGUGGGGAAUUUUGGACAAUGGGCGAAGGCCUGAUUCAGCCAUGCCGCGUGCAGGAUGAAGGCCUUCGGGUUGUAAACUGCUUUUGUACGGAACGAAAAGGUUUGGGCUAAUAAGCUGAGCUCAUGACGGUACCGUAAGAAUAAGCACCGGCUAACUACGUGCCAGCCGCCGCCGUAA
Molecule: ribosomal RNA, 500 nt
Filed under: uncultured bacterium
Lineage: Bacteria
Description: partial 16S ribosomal RNA
Rfam family: Bacterial small subunit ribosomal RNA
Source: RNAcentral